ACUUGCUUUCUUUGCUGGCGACCGGCGCACGGGUGAGUAACACGUAUCCAACCUACCCUUUACUCGGGGAUAGCCUUUCGAAAGAAAGAUUAAUACCCGAUAGUAUAAUGAUUCCGCAUGGUUUCAUUAUUAAAGGAUUCCGGUAAAGGAUGGGGAUGCGUUCCAUUAGGUUGUUGGUGAGGUAACGGCUCACCAAGCCUUCGAUGGAUAGGGGUUCUGAGAGGAAGGUCCCCCACAUUGGAACUGAGACGCGGUCCAAACUCCUACGGGAGGCAGCAUG
This 280-nucleotide ribosomal RNA is filed under the name uncultured bacterium. RNAcentral describes it as "partial 16S ribosomal RNA". It matches the Rfam family "Bacterial small subunit ribosomal RNA", at positions 74 to 353 of the family's 1533-position model. The record is from RNAcentral.